AUUAAACGCUGGCGGCAUGCCUUACACAUGCAAGUCGAACGGUAGCGCGGGGCAACCUGGCGACGAGUGGCGAACGGGUGAGUAAAGCAUCGGAACGUGCCCUGGAAUGGGGGAUAACGUAGCGAAAGUUACGCUAAUACCGCAUAUUCUGUGAGCAGGAAAGCAGGGGAUCGCAAGACCUUGCGUUCUGGGAGCGGCCGAUGUCGGAUUAGCUAGUUGGUGGGGUAAAAGCCUACCAAGGCGACGAUCCGUAGCGGGUCUGAGAGGAUGAUCCGCCACACUGGGACUGAGACACGGCCCAGACUCCUACGGGAGGCAGCAGUGGGGGAAUUUUUGGACAAUGGGCGGAAGCCUGAUCCAGCCAUGCCGCGUGAGUGAAGAAGGCCUGG
This 389-nucleotide ribosomal RNA is filed under the name uncultured bacterium. RNAcentral describes it as "bacterial SSU rRNA". It matches the Rfam family "Bacterial small subunit ribosomal RNA", at positions 29 to 419 of the family's 1533-position model. The record is from RNAcentral.